RNAcentral lists this ribosomal RNA (902 nucleotides) under uncultured archaeon. Its description in RNAcentral is "bacterial SSU rRNA". It matches the Rfam family "Archaeal small subunit ribosomal RNA", at positions 9 to 920 of the family's 1478-position model. The record is from RNAcentral.
UGAUCCUGCCGAACCUGACUGCUAUCGGAUUGGUACUAAGCCAUGCGAGUCGUGUAGCAAUACAAGGCGGACGGCUCAGUAACACGUAGUCAACCUAACCUAUGGACGUGGAUAACCUCGGGAAACUGAGAAUAAACCGCGAUAGAUCAUUAUGCCUGGAAUGGCUUAUGGUUUAAACAAUUUAUUGCCGUAGGAUGGGACUGCGGCCUAUCAGCUUGUUGGUGAGGUAAUGGCCCACCAAGGCUAUAACAGGUACGGGCUCUGAGAGGAGAAGCCCGGAGAUGGGUACUGAGACACGGACCCAGGCCCUAUGGGGCGCAGCAGGCGAGAAGCCUUAGCAAUGUGCGAAAGCACGACUAGGUUAAUCCGAGGGAUUUCUGUUGAAGAAAUCUUUUGUCAGUCGUAAAACCACAGACGAAUAAGGGGUGGGCAAGUCUGGUGUCAGCCGCCGCGGUAAUACCAGCACCUCGAGUGGUCAGGAGGUUUAUUGGGCCUAAAGCAUCCGUAGCCGGCUUUGCAAGUCUCCGGUUAAAUCCAACUGCUCAACAGAUGGGCUGCCGGAGAUACUACACAGCUAGGGAGCGGGAGAGGCAGACGGUAUUCUGUGGGUAGGGGUAAAAUCCUUUGAUCCAUAGAGGACCACCAGUGGCGAAGGCGGUCUGCCAGAACGCGUUCGACGGUGAGGGAUGAAAGCUGGGGGAGCAAACCGGAUUAGAUACCCGGGUAGUCCCAGCUGUAAACGAUGCAAACUCGGUGAUGCAUUGGCUUAUGGCCAAUGCAGUGCCGCAGGGAAGCCGUUAAGUUUGCCGCCUGGGAAGUACGGACGCAAGUCUGAAACUUAAAGGAAUUGGCGGGGGAGCACCACAAGGGGUGAAGCCUGCGGUUCAAUUGGAUCAACGCCG